RNAcentral lists this ribosomal RNA (421 nucleotides) under uncultured bacterium. RNAcentral describes it as "partial 16S ribosomal RNA". It matches the Rfam family "Bacterial small subunit ribosomal RNA", at positions 360 to 773 of the family's 1533-position model. The record is from RNAcentral.
AAUAUUUGACAAUGGGGGCAACCCUGAUCCAGCCAUGCCGCGCGUGUGAAGAAGGUCUUCGAAUUGUAAAGCACUUUAAGUUGGGAGGAAGGGCUUUAGGCUAAUACCCUGAAGUUUUGACGUUACCAACAGAAUAAGCACCUGCUAACUCUGUUCCAGCAGCCGCAGUAAUACAGAGGGUACAAGCGUUAAGCGGAAUUACUGGGGGUAAAGGGGGCGUAGGUGGUUCAGUAAGAUGGGUGUGAAAUCCCCGGGCUUAACCUGGGAACUGCUUUCAUAACUGCUGGGCUAGAGUACGGUAGAGGGUAGUGGAAUUUCCUGUGUAGCGGUGAAAUGCGUAGAUAUAGGAAGGAACACCAGUGGCGAAGGCGACUACCUGGACUGAUACUGACACUGAGGUGCGAAAGCGUGGGGAGCAAAC